GACGAACGCUGGCGGCGUGCUUAACACAUGCAAGUCGAACGGUAAGGCUCCAGCUUGCUGGGGUACACGAGUGGCGAACGGGUGAGUAACACGUGGGUGACCUGCCCUGCACUUCGGGAUAAGCCUGGGAAACUGGGUCUAAUACCGGAUAGGACCGCACCGUGAGGGUGUGGUGGAAAGUUUUUUCGGUGUGGGAUGGGCCCGCGGCCUAUCAGCUUGUUGGUGGGGUAAUGGCCUACCAAGGCGGCGACGGGUAGCCGGCCUGGGAGGGUGGACGGCCACAUUGGGACUGAGACACGGCCCAGACUCCUACGGGAGGCAGCAGUGGGGAAUAUUGCACAAUGGGCGGAAGCCUGAUGCAGCGACGCCGCGUGGGGGAUGACGGCCUUCGGGUUGUAAACUCCUUUCACCAUCGACGAAGGGUUUCUGACGGUAGAUGGAGAAGAAGCACCGGCUAACUACGUG
This 465-nucleotide ribosomal RNA is filed under the name uncultured bacterium. RNAcentral's name for it is "partial 16S ribosomal RNA". It matches the Rfam family "Bacterial small subunit ribosomal RNA", at positions 28 to 507 of the family's 1533-position model. The record is from RNAcentral.